UUUCGCAAUGCCCGAAAGGGUGACGAAGCGACGCCGCGUGUGGGAAGAAGGCCUUCGGGUUGUAAACCACUGUCGGGAGUUAGGAAAUGCAGGUGCGUUAAUAGCGCACUUGCUUGACUAAGGCUCCAGAGGAAGCCACGGCUAACUCUGUGCCAGCAGCCGCGGUAAUACAGAGGCGGCAAGCGUUGUUCGGAAUUAUUGGGCGUAAAGAGCACGUAGGCGGCCUUGCAAGUCAGUUAUGAAAGCCUUCCGCUUAACGGAAGAACGGCAUCUGAUACUACAGGGUUUGAGUACGGGAGGGGAGAGUGGAACUUCUGGUGGAGCGGUGAAAUGCGUAGAUAUCAGAAGGAACGCCGGCGGCGAAAGCGACUCUCUGGUCCGAAACUGACGCUGAGUGUGCGAAAGCUAGGGGAGCAAACGGGGUUAGAUACCCCGGUAGUCCUAGCCGUAAACGAUGGGCACUAAGUAGAGGGGUUUU
This 478-nucleotide ribosomal RNA is filed under the name uncultured Planctomycetales bacterium. RNAcentral describes it as "bacterial SSU rRNA". It matches the Rfam family "Bacterial small subunit ribosomal RNA", at positions 364 to 832 of the family's 1533-position model. Lineage: Bacteria; Pseudomonadati; Planctomycetota; Planctomycetia; Planctomycetales. The record is from RNAcentral.